AGAAAAAACAAAAUUUUCAGAAAUUUAGUUUUGGAACACACAUACUUUCACCUAGACUUUUAAUAUCUCUGUCCUGAUUUUUGCUUCAUCAGGAUGGUGUCACAAAACUCUUAUGUGCUCCAGAAAGAGGAGUGGCAAGGAAAUGUUAUUGCUUCCCAAACCAGGGAGUGUAUAUGUGCUAUGAGACAGUGAGAGUAUGGUUGUGGCUGGCCUUAAUCAGGUGCCCUUGCUUCCUCUUCUGCAGGGACCUUCAGGUUCUCAGCAGAGCUGGGCAUGAGGGCACCAAGUCUUGGUGUCCUGUGCUGCUCUCCUCUUCCCAGACCUGUCCUGUGCCAGGGUGCUAGUGGAGGACCCACCUGUCCUAUACCCCGCUGCAGCAUCAGGGAGGGAGGUACAGGCAUAGAUGACUUAGGCUGCUCUGGCUCCUGAGUGUCUACAGCCCCUCCUCAGAGACAAUUUGGGUCUUUGUUGGAUAAAUACUAGAGGCUGUGUGGAUUGUCCAGGAGAGAAGUGGGAGCUCAGAUCCAGUUGAAUUAGAAUUCAGGACUCCAGAAGGGUGACUGUGUUAAUCCUUCCCAUUUUCAAGUACUUCCAUUUCUCUUCCUUUGCAUAUUUUUGUUUAUUUCAAUACUGUCAUCAUCUGUCCCUGCCUUUUGUCAGCUUUUUAUUCCCCCAGUUCAAGACCACUAAGUAUUCUCCAAAUCUUUCUGCCUCAGCUUUACAUUGUCCUAUGAGUGCCACAAUUUGUGUUAAGUCAGGUCCUCAGUCUCAUCCACUUUAUGACAAGCCUGGAUGCCAUUGUCUUCUUUCUGAAAUCACAUGGAGAUUUGCUGGUGACAGAUAUAGCCUCUACCUCAUUUUCUUUAUUGAUUGAUUUUUUAGAGUCUUAGGGGUGAGCCCAGAGCCUCAUGCAUUGUAGGAGAGCACUGUACCCCUGAGCUGCAGCCCCAGCCCCUUCCUUCAUUUUAGUACAGACUCCAGUGGCAGUUACUAGAAGAUGAGACAGAUUUUAGAUGAAGAAAAGUCCAUUUACUGAAUUUUUCCUGUGAUUCAAGCAAGUUUCAUCACUUGAGUUGAGUGAUGGAAGCCCAGUUCCUUGUUGCUCAUGGUACUUAAAGUGACUUUGUACUCAUUGUCAGUUCCUCUACUCAUCCUUCUGCACAGAAUGCUUUUGUGAAAGUAUGUUUUUUUUAAUGC
This 1197-nucleotide long non-coding RNA is filed under the name Marmota monax (woodchuck). The record is from RNAcentral. Lineage: Eukaryota; Metazoa; Chordata; Mammalia; Rodentia; Sciuridae.